AAGCCAUUAUGCGGGCAAUCUUUUACCAACCUUUUAAACCUCGCCCAGGCGUCACUAAGUGAUCCGUCAAUGUCUUGUUCAAAAUUAGUGAUCAACUUCCUUCUUCU
Molecule: small nucleolar RNA, 107 nt
Organism: Benincasa hispida (wax gourd)
Lineage: Eukaryota; Viridiplantae; Streptophyta; Magnoliopsida; Cucurbitales; Cucurbitaceae
Source: RefSeq, a predicted model, not a curated record